UACGGAGGGUGCGAGCGUUAAUCGGAAUUACUGGGCGUAAAGCGUACGUAGGCGGUUGUGUAAGUCGGAUGUGAAAGCCCCGGGCUUAACCUGGGAACUGCAUUCGAUACUGCUCGGCUAGAGUAUGGGAGAGGGAAGCGGAAUUUACGGUGUAGCGGUGAAAUGCGUAGAUAACGGAAGGAACACCAAUGGCGAAGGCAGCUUCCUGGCCCAAUACUGCCGCUCAGGUGCGAAAGCGUGGGGAUCAAACAGG
This 253-nucleotide ribosomal RNA is filed under the name uncultured bacterium. RNAcentral describes it as "partial 16S ribosomal RNA". It matches the Rfam family "Bacterial small subunit ribosomal RNA", at positions 524 to 776 of the family's 1533-position model. The record is from RNAcentral.